UACGGGGGGAGCAAGCGUUGUUCGGAUUUACUGGGCGUAAAGGGCGCGUAGGCGGUCAGCACAAGUCUCUAGUGAAAUCUCCGGGCUUAACCCGGAGCGGUCAAGUGAUACUGUCGUGCUAGAGUGCGGAAGGGGCAACUGGAAUUCUCGGUGUAGCGGUGAAAUGCGUAGAUAUCGAGAGGAACACCUGCGGCGAAGGCGGGUUGCUGGGCCGACACUGACGCUGAGGCGCGAAAGCUAGGGGAGCGAACGGG
RNAcentral lists this ribosomal RNA (254 nucleotides) under uncultured bacterium. RNAcentral's name for it is "partial 16S ribosomal RNA". It matches the Rfam family "Bacterial small subunit ribosomal RNA", at positions 524 to 776 of the family's 1533-position model. The record is from RNAcentral.